GAAUAUUGGACAAUGGUGGCAACACUGAUCCAGCCAUGCCGCGUGCAGGAUGAAGGCCCUAUGGGUCGUAAACUGCUUUUAUACGGAAAAAAACCCUGCGAUGCGUCGGGGGCUGAUGGUACCGUAAGAAUAAGGGUCGGCUAACUUCGUGCCAGCAGCCGCGGUAAUACGAAGGACCCGAGCGUUAUCCGGAUUUAUUGGGUUUAAAGGGUGCGUAGGCGGAUUUGCAAGUCAGUGGUGAAAUCCUGCAGCUUAACUGUAGAACUGUCAUUGAAACUGCAUAUCUUGAGUACAUUUGAAGUGGGCGGAAUGUGUCAUGUAGCGGUGAAAUGCUUAGAUAUGACACAGAACACCGAUUGCGAAGGCAGCUCACUAAACUGUCACUGACGCUGAGGCACGAAAGCGUGGGGAUCAAACAGG
Molecule: ribosomal RNA, 420 nt
Filed under: uncultured bacterium
Lineage: Bacteria
Description: bacterial SSU rRNA
Rfam family: Bacterial small subunit ribosomal RNA
Source: RNAcentral